GAUGAACGCUGGCGGCGUGCCUAAUACAUGCAAGUCGAGCGAACAGAUAAGGAGCUUGCUCCUUUGACGUUAGCGGCGGACGGGUGAGUAACACGUGGGUAACCUACCUAUAGGACUGGAAUAACUCCGGGAAACCGGGGCUAAUGCCGGAUAACAUGUUGAACCGCAUGGUUCUACAGUGAAAGGCGGCUUUGCUGUCACUUAUAGAUGGACCCGCGCCGUAUUAGCUAGUUGGUGAGGUAACGGCUCACCAAGGCAACGAUACGUAGCCGACCUGAGAGGGUGAUCGGCCACACUGGAACUGAGACACGGUCCAGACUCCUACGGGAGGCAGCAGUAGGGAAUCUUCCGCAAUGGGCGAAAGCCUGACGGAGCAACGCCGCGUGAGUGAUGAAGGUCUUCGGAUCGUAAAACUCUGUUAUUAGGGAAGAACAAAUGCGUAAGUAACUGUGCGCGUCUUGACGGUACCUAAUCAGAAAGCCACGGCUAACUACGUG
This 497-nucleotide ribosomal RNA is filed under the name uncultured bacterium. Its description in RNAcentral is "partial 16S ribosomal RNA". It matches the Rfam family "Bacterial small subunit ribosomal RNA", at positions 28 to 507 of the family's 1533-position model. The record is from RNAcentral.